CGCGGGGUGGAGCAGUUGGUAGCUCGUCGGGCUCAUAACCCGAAGGUCGUUGGUUCGAAUCCAUCCCCCGCUACCA
Molecule: transfer RNA, 76 nt
Filed under: Clostridiales bacterium
Lineage: Bacteria; Bacillati; Bacillota; Clostridia; Eubacteriales
Also listed under: 1 other name
Description: tRNA-Met
Rfam family: tRNA
About the family: Transfer RNA (tRNA) molecules are approximately 80 nucleotides in length. Their secondary structure includes four short double-helical elements and three loops (D, anti-codon, and T loops). Further hydrogen bonds mediate the characteristic L-shaped molecular structure. tRNAs have two regions of fundamental functional importance: the anti-codon, which is responsible for specific mRNA codon recognition, and the 3' end, to which the tRNAs corresponding amino acid is attached (by aminoacyl-tRNA synthetases). tRNAs cope with the degeneracy of the genetic code in two manners: having more than one tRNA (with a specific anti-codon) for a particular amino acid; and 'wobble' base-pairing, i.e. permitting non-standard base-pairing at the 3rd anti-codon position.
Source: RNAcentral